GAAAUGCGAUAACUAGUGUGAAUUGCAGAAUUCCGUGAAUCAUCGAGUCUUUGAACGCACAUUGCGCCCCCUGGUAUUCCGGGGGGCAUGCCUGUCCGAGCGUCAUUGCUGCCCAUCAAGCAAGGCUUGUGUGUUGGGUCGUCGUCCCCUCUCCGGGGGGGACGGGCCCCAAAGGCAGCGGCGGCACCGCGUCCGAUCCUCGAGCGUAUGGGGCUUUGUCACCCGCUCUGUAGGCCCGGCCGGCGCUUGCCGAACGCAAAUCAAUCUUUUUCCAGGUUGACCUCGGAUCAGGUAGGGAUACCCGCUGAACUUAAGC
This 316-nucleotide unclassified non-coding RNA is filed under the name plant metagenome. RNAcentral's name for it is "partial contains 5.8S ribosomal RNA, internal transcribed spacer 2, and large subunit ribosomal RNA". The stretch from base 1 to 105 matches the Rfam family "5.8S ribosomal RNA", at positions 50 to 154 of the family's 154-position model. The record is from RNAcentral.